GCAGGACCUGCCUUGUUGAUAGUGUUGUUAAGAAGGUAGAAACUAGGGCCUGUAGGACCUGCCUUGUUGAUAGUGUUGUUAAGAAGGUAGAAACUAGGGCCUGUAGGACCUGCCUUGUUGAUAGUGUUGUUAAGAAGGUAGAAACUAGGGCCUGUAGGACCUGCCUUGUUGAUAGUGUUGUUAAGGUAGAAACUAGGGCCUGUAGGACCUGCCUUGUUGAUAGUGUUGUUAAGAAGGUAGAAACUAGGGCCUGUAGGACCUGCCUUGUUGAUAGUGUUGUUAAGAAGGUAGAAACUAGGGCCUGUAGGACCUGCCUUGGUGAUAGUGUUGUUAAGAAGGUAGAAACUAGGGCCUGUAGGACCUGCCUUGUUGAUAGUGUUGUUAAGAAGGUAGAAACUAGGGC
RNAcentral lists this long non-coding RNA (403 nucleotides) under Salmo salar (Atlantic salmon). Its description in RNAcentral is "lncRNA (ENSSSAG00000107680.1)". The record is from RNAcentral. Lineage: Eukaryota; Metazoa; Chordata; Actinopteri; Salmoniformes; Salmonidae.